UGACUUGGCAUAAUAAGUAUUUUGCUAAGGACAUCUUCGGAUGGCCAGGACUUGACUUUUGUCUGCUUACUAAACCUUACUUUAAGUGCAUCUCUGGUGUUACUUAUAGUAUUACUUUGACAUAUGGCCUCAAAUCAGGUAGGACUACCCGCUGAACUUAAGCAUAUCAAUAAGCGGAGGAAAAGAAACUAACAAGGAUUCCCCUAGUAACGGCGAGUGAAGCGGGAAGAGCUCAAAUUUGAAAUCUGGUGGCCUCAGGUCAUCCGAGUUGUAAUCUAUAGAAACGUUUUCCGUGCUGGCUCAUGUACAAGUCCCUUGGAACAGGGCGUCAUAGAGGGUGAGAAUCCCGUCCUUGACAUGAACUACCAGUGCUCUGUGAUACGUUUUCAACGAGUCGAGUUGUUUGGGAAUGCAGCUCAAAAUGGGUGGUAAAUUCCAUCUAAAGCUAAAUAUUGGCGAGAGACCGAUAGCGAACAAGUACCGUGAGGGAAAGAUGAAAAGCACUUUGGAAAGAGAGUUAAACAGUAUGUGAAAUUGUUAAAAGGGAAACGAUUGAAGUCAGUCGUGCUCUUUGGAUUCAGCCGGUUCUGCCGGUGUACUUCCAUUGAGUGGGGUCAACAUCAGUUUUGAUCGCUGGAUAAAGGCAGGAAGAAUGUAGCACCUCCGGGUGAACUUAUAGCUUUCUGUCACAUACAGUGGUUGGGACUGAGGAACGCAGCAUGCCUUUAUGGCCGGGAUUCGUCCACGU
Molecule: ribosomal RNA, 748 nt
Filed under: Filobasidium wieringae
Lineage: Eukaryota; Fungi; Basidiomycota; Tremellomycetes; Filobasidiales; Filobasidiaceae
Description: eukaryotic LSU rRNA
Rfam family: Eukaryotic large subunit ribosomal RNA (bases 125-748)
Source: RNAcentral